This 198-nucleotide ribosomal RNA is filed under the name uncultured Streptococcaceae bacterium. RNAcentral describes it as "partial 16S ribosomal RNA". It matches the Rfam family "Bacterial small subunit ribosomal RNA", at positions 141 to 334 of the family's 1533-position model. The record is from RNAcentral. Lineage: Bacteria; Bacillati; Bacillota; Bacilli; Lactobacillales; Streptococcaceae.
GGAUAACUAUUGGAAACGAUAGCUAAUACCGCAUAACAGUAGAUAUUGCAUGAUAUCUGCUUGAAAGGUGCAAUUGCAUCACUACCAGAUGGACCUGCGUUGUAUUAGCUAGUUGGUGAGGUAACGGCUCACCAAGGCAACGAUACAUAGCCGACCUGAGAGGGUGAUCGGCCACACUGGGACUGAGACACGGCCCAG